AAGUUUUCUUUUCACAAGCAACACUCAGGCGCCAGAUGCAUUGGCGCACAUUCCCCCCUCUACCAAACUUGGUUAUUUUAGUAUUUUUUUUGAAAACAUGGUUAUUUUCGUAUUUUUUUUGAAAAACUUGUAUGGUAAUUUUAUUUUAUUUUUGAAAAAUAUAUUAGAGAUGAAAAAAUUGAAAAAUUUGUUUGGUAAACUUAAUUUCAAAAUAUUUUUAUUUU
RNAcentral lists this long non-coding RNA (224 nucleotides) under Lathyrus oleraceus (garden pea). Its description in RNAcentral is "Pisum sativum (pea) long non-coding RNA (PSAT_LNC013328)". The record is from RNAcentral. Lineage: Eukaryota; Viridiplantae; Streptophyta; Magnoliopsida; Fabales; Fabaceae.